RNAcentral lists this ribosomal RNA (261 nucleotides) under uncultured Oscillospiraceae bacterium. RNAcentral describes it as "partial 16S ribosomal RNA". It matches the Rfam family "Bacterial small subunit ribosomal RNA", at positions 78 to 339 of the family's 1533-position model. Lineage: Bacteria; Bacillati; Bacillota; Clostridia; Eubacteriales; Oscillospiraceae. The record is from RNAcentral.
AAACCUGAUAUGACUUAGUGGCGGACGGGUGAGUAACACGUGAGCAACCUGCCUUUCAGAGGGGGAUAACGGCUGGAAACGGUCGCUAAUACCGCAUGACACAUAGAUGUCGCAUGGCAUUUAUAUCAAAGAUUUAUCGCUGAAAGAUGGCCUCGCGUCUGAUUAGCUAGUUGGUGAGGUAACGGCCCACCAAGGCGACGAUCAGUAGCCGGACUGAGAGGUUGAACGGCCACAUUGGGACUGAGACACGGCCCAGACUCC